RNAcentral lists this ribosomal RNA (808 nucleotides) under uncultured Lactarius. RNAcentral describes it as "eukaryotic LSU rRNA". The stretch from base 197 to 350 matches the Rfam family "5.8S ribosomal RNA". Lineage: Eukaryota; Fungi; Basidiomycota; Agaricomycetes; Russulales; Russulaceae. The record is from RNAcentral.
CAUGCUCGGGCUGGUUGCUGACUCAAAAAGUCGUGCACGCUGGAGGGUGUCCUCUCACAUAAUAAUCCAUCUCACCCUUUGUGCAUCACCGCGUGGGCACCCUUUGGGAUCGGACCGAUCUCGGAAGGGGGCCCGCGUUUUCACACAAACCCCCCCAUCUAAAAGUGUAGAAUGUCCUCAUUUAUGCAAUAAAUACAACUUUCAACAACGGAUCUCUUGGCUCUCGCAUCGAUGAAGAACGCAGCGAAAUGCGAUACGUAAUGUGAAUUGCAGAAUUCAGUGAAUCAUCGAAUCUUUGAACGCACCUUGCGCCCCUUGGUAUUCCGAGGGGCACACCCGUUUGAGUGUCGUGAAAAUCUCAACCUCCUUGGUUUCUUCUGGAGACCGAUGGGGGCUUGGACAUUGGAGGCCUUUGCUGGUGUCUCUCUUGAAGGGCCCAGCUCCUCUUAAAUGAAUUAGCGGGGUCCUCUUUGCCGAUCCUUGACAUGUGAUAAGAUGUUUCCGUGUCUUGGUCUCUGGCUCUGUUGCUUUUGGGACCCGCUUCUAAUCGUCUCAACCUUGCGUCGAGACAAACGUCUGAUCGUGGCUCCCUUCCCUGGGAAACUCUCUCGACCUCACGAACCCUUGACCUCAAAUCGGGUGAGACUACCCGCUGAACUUAAGCAUAUCGCUAACCGGAGGAAAAGAAACUAACGAGGAUUCCCCUAGUGUCUGCGAGUGAAGCGGGAAAAGCUCAAAUUUAUAAUCUGGCGGUCAUUGGACGUCCGAGUUGUCAUUUAGAGAAACGUCUUCCGCGCUGGACCGUGUA